AACGAACGCUGGCGGCAUGCCUAACACAUGCAAGUCGAACGAGACCUUCGGGUCUAGUGGCGCACGGGUGCGUAACGCGUGGGAACCUGCCCUUAGGUUCGGAAUAACUCCCCGAAAGGGGUGCUAAUACCGGAUAAUGUCUUCGGACCAAAGAUUUAUCGCCUUUGGAUGGGCCCGCGUUGGAUUAGCUAGUUGGUAGGGUAAAAGCCUACCAAGGCGACGAUCCAUAGCUGGUCUGAGAGGAUGAUCAGCCACACUGGGAAUGAGACACGGCCCAGACUCCUACGGGAGGCAGCAGUGGGGAAUAUUGGACAAUGGGCGAAAGCCUGAUCAAGCAAUGCCGGGUGAGUGAUGAAGGCCUUAGGGUAGUAAAGCUCUUUUAGCCGGGAUGAUAAUGACAGUACCGGGAGAAUAAGCUCCGGCUAACUACGUG
Molecule: ribosomal RNA, 433 nt
Filed under: uncultured bacterium
Lineage: Bacteria
Description: partial 16S ribosomal RNA
Rfam family: Bacterial small subunit ribosomal RNA
Source: RNAcentral